UACGUAGGGGGCUAGCGUUGUCCGGAAUCAUUGGGCGUAAAGAGCGUGUAGGCGGCCCGGUAAGUCCGCUGUGAAAGUCGGGGGCUCAACCCUCGAAUGCCGGUGGAUACUGUCGGGCUAGAGUGCGGAAGAGGCGAGUGGAAUUCCUGGUGUAGCGGUGAAAUGCGUAGAUAUCUGGAGGAACACCGGUGGCGAAGGCGGCAUCCUGGACCGACACUGACGCUGAGGAGCGAAAGCCAGGGGAGCAAACGGG
Molecule: ribosomal RNA, 253 nt
Filed under: uncultured bacterium
Lineage: Bacteria
Description: partial 16S ribosomal RNA
Rfam family: Bacterial small subunit ribosomal RNA
Source: RNAcentral